Molecule: long non-coding RNA, 279 nt
Filed under: Hordeum vulgare
Lineage: Eukaryota; Viridiplantae; Streptophyta; Magnoliopsida; Poales; Poaceae
Description: long non-coding RNA (HVUL_LNC020962)
Source: RNAcentral
ACGACAACGACGACGAAAGCGACAAGAACAACGACAACUACGACAACAACCACAACAAGAACAAUAAUGGCAACAGCGACAACAACGAUAGAAACAACAAAAACAACUACAACAACAACCACAACGACGACAGAGACUAAAGCAACAACAAUGACAACAAAAACAACAACAACAUCGAAGACGAUGACGACGACCACGACAACAACAAGAACGAAAAAAACAACAAGAAUAAGAAGAAGAAGAAGAAGAAGAAGAAGAAGAAGAAGAAGAAGAAGAAGN